UGGGGAAUAUUGGGCAAUGGAGGAAACUCUGACCCAGCAACGCCGCGUGGAGGAAGAAGGUUUUCGGAUCGUAAACUCCUGUCCUUGGAGACGAGUAGAAGACGGUAUCCAAGGAGGAAGCCCCGGCUAACUACGUGCCAGCAGCCGCGGUAAUACGUAGGGGGCAAGCGUUGUCCGGAAUAAUUGGGCGUAAAGGGCGCGUAGGCGGCUCGGUAAGUCUGGAGUGAAAGUCCUGCUUUUAAGGUGGGAAUUGCUUUGGAUACUGUCGGGCUUGAGUGCAGGAGAGGUUAGUGGAAUUCCCAGUGUAGCGGUGAAAUGCGUAGAGAUUGGGAGGAACACCAGUGGCGAAGGCGACUAACUGGACUGUAACUGACGCUGAGGCGCGAAAGUGUGGGGAGCAAACAGGAUUAGAUACCCUGGUAGUCCACACUGUAAACGAUGAAUGCUAGGUGUAGGGGGUAUCGACCCCUUCUGUGCCGCAGUCAACACAAUAAGCAUUCCGCCUGGGGAGUACGGCCGCAAGGUUGAAACUCAAAGGAAUUGACGGGGGCCCGCACAAGCAGCGGAGCAUGUGGUUUAAUUCGACGCAACGCGAAGAACCUUACCAGGUCUUGACAUCCACUUAAACUUACAGAGAUGUAAGGUGUGCUUGCACAAAGUGAGACAGGUGGUGCAUGGUUGUCGUCAGCUCGUGUCGUGAGAUGUUGGGUUAAGUCCCGCAACGAGCGCAACCCUUAUCUUCAGUUACUAACGCGUGAAGGUGAGGACUCUGAAGAGACUGCCGGGGACAACUCGGAGGAAGGUGGGGACGACGUCAAAUCAUCAUGCCCCUUAUGACCUGGGCUACACACGUGCUACAAUGGCCACGACAGAGAGAAGCGAAAUCGUAAGGUAGAGCGGAACUCAAAAAAGUGGUCCCAGUUCGGAUUGUGGGCUGCAACCCGCCCACAUGAAGUCGGAGUUGCUAGUAAUCGCGGAUCAGCAUGCCGCGGUGAAUACGUUCCC
This 1005-nucleotide ribosomal RNA is filed under the name uncultured bacterium. RNAcentral's name for it is "bacterial SSU rRNA". It matches the Rfam family "Bacterial small subunit ribosomal RNA", at positions 355 to 1375 of the family's 1533-position model. The record is from RNAcentral.